Molecule: ribosomal RNA, 549 nt
Filed under: uncultured bacterium
Lineage: Bacteria
Description: bacterial SSU rRNA
Rfam family: Bacterial small subunit ribosomal RNA
Source: RNAcentral
UAGGGAAUCUUCGGCAAUGGACGGAAGUCUGACCGAGCAACGCCGCGUGAGUGAAGAAGGUUUUCGGAUCGUAAAGCUCUGUUGUAAGAGAAGAACGAGUGUGAGAGUGGAAAGUUCACACUGUGACGGUAUCUUACCAGAAAGGGACGGCUAACUACGUGCCAGCAGCCGCGGUAAUACGUAGGUCCCGAGCGUUGUCCGGAUUUAUUGGGCGUAAAGCGAGCGCAGGCGGUUAGAUAAGUCUGAAGUUAAAGGCUGUGGCUUAACCAUAGUAGGCUUUGGAAACUGUUUAACUUGAGUGCAAGAGGGGAGAGUGGAAUUCCAUGUGUAGCGGUGAAAUGCGUAGAUAUAUGGAGGAACACCGGUGGCGAAAGCGGCUCUCUGGCUUGUAACUGACGCUGAGGCUCGAAAGCGUGGGGAGCAAACAGGAUUAGAUACCCUGGUAGUCCACGCUGUAAACGAUGAGUGCUAGGUGUUAGACCCUUUCCGGGGUUUAGUGCCGUAGCUAACGCAUUAAGCACUCCGCCUGGGGGGUACGACCGCAAGGUU